This 258-nucleotide ribosomal RNA is filed under the name uncultured soil bacterium. Its description in RNAcentral is "partial 16S ribosomal RNA". It matches the Rfam family "Bacterial small subunit ribosomal RNA", at positions 26 to 312 of the family's 1533-position model. The record is from RNAcentral.
AGAACGAACGCUGGCGGCAUGCCUAAUACAUGCAAGUCGAACGAACACUUCGGUGUUAGUGGCGCACGGGUGUGUAACGCGUGGGAAUCUGCCCUUGGGUUCGGAAUAACAGUUGGAAACGGCUGCUAAUACCGGAUGAUAUCGAAAGAUCAAAGAUUUAUCGCCCGAGGGAUGAGCCCGCGUAGGAUUAGCUAGUUGGUGAGGUAAAGCUCACCAAGGCGACGAUCCUUAGCUGGUCUGAGAGGAUGAUCAGCCACA